Molecule: ribosomal RNA, 253 nt
Filed under: uncultured bacterium
Lineage: Bacteria
Description: partial 16S ribosomal RNA
Rfam family: Bacterial small subunit ribosomal RNA
Source: RNAcentral
UACGUAGGGUGCAAGCGUUGUCCGGAAUUAUUGGGCGUAAAGAGCGUGUAGGCGGCCAUACAGGUCAGCUGUGAAAACUCGAGGCUCAACCUCGAGACGUCGGUUGAAACCGUACGGCUAGAGUCCGGAAGAGGAGAGCGGAAUUCCCGGUGUAGCGGUGAAAUGCGCAGAUAUCGGGAAGAACACCCGUGGCGAAGGCGGCUCUCUGGGACGGUACUGACGCUGAGACGCGAAAGCGUGGGGAGCGAACAGG